CUCCCAGAAGGCUGGUUAAAAUCCGGAACUAUAAAAGCUGAUGUGUGUGCGAGGGCCGCCCUUUCCGAGAGCCUGGCGAAGGCCCAUGUGCUGUGCUUUUCUUUCCUAAAAUGCAUGCAAAUAAAACAAAAGGAGAAAAUCUUUGGAAGCCGCCAUAACUGCGAACUCGUGGACUGACGAGAACAUUAACUAGUUAUGACUGACACCAUUACGAAGGGUCUGGCUGGGGGUUGGAGUUUUGUCCCAGGCUGUCAACCGGUGACAACUUGUGCUUGUGCUGCCCCGGGUCCAUAGCCCCUGGGAUGCAGCAGUGAAUCGUUGCUGGAUGUAUGGAGAUGUGAAUAAAUACAAUAAACUGUGUAA
Long non-coding RNA from Brienomyrus brachyistius, 363 nucleotides. RefSeq lists it as uncharacterized. Lineage: Eukaryota; Metazoa; Chordata; Actinopteri; Osteoglossiformes; Mormyridae. The record is from RefSeq and is a predicted model, not a curated record. The transcript is spliced from 4 exons.